UACAGAGGAUGCAAGCGUUAUCCGGAAUGAUUGGGCGUAAAGCGUCUGUAGGUGGCUUUUUAAGUCCGCCGUCAAAUCCCAGGGCUCAACUCUGGACAGGCGGUGGAAACUACCAAGCUGGAGUACGGUAGGGGCAGAGGGAAUUUCCGGGUGGAGCGGUGAAAUGCGUAGAGGAUCGGAAAAGAACACCAACGGCGAAAGCACUCUGGCUGGGCCGACACUGACACUGAGAGACGAAAGCUAGGGGAGCGAAUGGGAUAGAUACCC
Molecule: ribosomal RNA, 267 nt
Filed under: uncultured bacterium
Lineage: Bacteria
Description: partial 16S ribosomal RNA
Rfam family: Bacterial small subunit ribosomal RNA
Source: RNAcentral